This 24-nucleotide non-coding RNA is filed under the name Arabidopsis thaliana (thale cress). Lineage: Eukaryota; Viridiplantae; Streptophyta; Magnoliopsida; Brassicales; Brassicaceae. The record is from RNAcentral.
CAGACCACUCAAAUUUGAAUCUGC